RNAcentral lists this ribosomal RNA (523 nucleotides) under uncultured Bartonella sp. Its description in RNAcentral is "bacterial SSU rRNA". It matches the Rfam family "Bacterial small subunit ribosomal RNA", at positions 91 to 649 of the family's 1533-position model. The record is from RNAcentral. Lineage: Bacteria; Pseudomonadati; Pseudomonadota; Alphaproteobacteria; Hyphomicrobiales; Bartonellaceae.
GUGAGCGGCAGACGGGUGAGUAACGCGUGGGAAUCUACCCAUCUCUACGGAAUAACACAGAGAAAUUUGUGCUAAUACCGUAUACGUCCUUCGGGAGAAAGAUUUAUCGGAGAUGGAUGAGCCCGCGUUGGAUUAGCUAGUUGGUGAGGUAAAGGCUCACCAAGGCGACGAUCCAUAGCUGGUCUGAGAGGAUGAUCAGCCACACUGGGACUGAGACACGGCCCAGACUCCUACGGGAGGCAGCAGUGGGGAAUAUUGGACAAUGGGGGCAACCCUGAUCCAGCCAUGCCGCGUGAGUGAUGAAGGCCCUAGGGUUGUAAAGCUCUUUCACCGGUGAAGAUAAUGACGGUAACCGGAGAAGAAGCCCCGGCUAACUUCGUGCCAGCAGCCGCGGUAAUACGAAGGGGGCUAGCGUUGUUCGGAUUUACUGGGCGUAAAGCGCAUGUAGGCGGAUAUUUAAGUCAGAGGUGAAAUCCCAGGGCUCAACCCUGGAACUGCCUUUGAUACUGGGUAUCUUGAGUAU